GGCUCCCCGAGACACAGCCUUGAACUCUCUACAGGCUUCCCAGACCCUCCUGGCUGGACCACCUACUCCCUGUCCUGGACUCUGUGUCCCAUCUGCCUGGACAGGCCUCUGGACCCGCAUGCAAAGGGCCACCACGGGGCUUUGGGGGGCUCUUUCACCAUAUACCUUCCCCCCACAGCCUGGCCUGCAUCAUCUGAACUCCCCCUCCCUGCCCUCCCACAGAGACCACAGGCCUCUGCAGCCUCCCCCAGCCCCGCCUGGCUCUCCAGCCCCCUGGGGACCUGCCCCGGGAGUGGAGAAGGCCCUGGGAGGAGCAGGACGCUGCGGGGAGCGGGAGCGUGGGGGAUUUCCAGGGGAGUGACACAUCCAGUGUGGACUGUGAGGUCCAGUGUGGACAGGGAGGUGCCCCGGGGUCCAGGGAGGGCACGAAGGUCACAGCAGAGGCUGGAUUCUGGAGGCAGAUGGGAAGGCUCAGGAGCUCACAGUCACAGCAGUGUCUCCAGCCCAAGCGACUGGUCACAGAAGCAAGCAGGUCGGCCACAGUGCUGGCGGGGGAAGCACUCAGCACAUCUACCCGGCCAGGGCCUGGACAGCCAUGAGUGGACGACCGCCCAGCAGAGAUGAGCCUAGGGCCUGGUGAAACCUCCCCUGCCUGGGUGAGGUCAGUGGGUGGACAGUGGCUGCCCAGGGCUCCAGGCAAGGUCCCAGCAGGACCUCUCUCCCUGAACUGCCCUUGGGGUCAGAGCCAGCCUAACCAGCCGUGUGGGCUGGGACCUGCUCUGGCUGAGCGCUGCCCAGCGCCCCACCUCGACCCUUGCUGAGCCUUUGUGGGCCAGGGGCCAGGGCUGCGCCCAUGCCUACUCAGAGCUCACGCCCCAGGCAGCUGGGCUGCGGGCAGCAGUGAGGCCUGGGCAGACCCAGGGGCCCCUGGCGGGUGGAGCAGGGGCAGAGGUCUGCCAAAGCCCCAGAGUGGACCCCUGUAGAGAGGAAGAGGGGGCUGACCCGACUUCCCCAGCCCACAGCUGCUCCCCAGCGGACAGUAAAGGGGCAUCACAGGGUCCCUGCCAAGGCCGGGCAGCAGCCUAGGUGCUCACCAAUUUGGGGAGGUGAGGAAAGACAGCAGCUAUGCGACCCACUGCCAGACAGAGGCGGCCACCCGCGCUCCUGGAGGACGCGCCCAGCCGAGGGGUAGGGGACAGCUUAGACUGACCCACGUGUCUGCUGUGCACGGACGCCGGACACAGGACACUGGCCAGGGCGGCCCACUCCACCCGCCCGCGCCGCACCAUGCCCUAUUAAGGGCAUGACCACCGGGCUCUGCCGAGCGCGCUGCCGGCGGCCGCGACGGUCGAGUGAGGCUGGGGGGUGAGCCGGGGGUCUG
Molecule: long non-coding RNA, 1381 nt
Filed under: Ovis aries (sheep)
Lineage: Eukaryota; Metazoa; Chordata; Mammalia; Artiodactyla; Bovidae
Description: lncRNA (ENSOARG00000026497.1)
Source: RNAcentral